Molecule: non-coding RNA, 225 nt
Organism: Pelobates cultripes (western spadefoot toad)
Lineage: Eukaryota; Metazoa; Chordata; Amphibia; Anura; Pelobatidae
Source: the annotation of a GenBank genome assembly
GCCGUCCUGAACUUCUUGGCUGAAUUGUUUUCUCAGGGUAAGUCGUAUAGGACUAUUACGUCUUCCGAUCGGCUAUCUCGGUGGCUCAUGUGCCUUCUCAAGGUUUUGGUGUUGGUAAGGACACCUCGGUCUGCAGACUGCUCGAGACCCCCUGCUUCUUGCUAUUCCUCAUUUUGGGAUGUCUCGCUGGUAUUGCGCUUUCUUGAGGAAUGGCCUGAUAACGAG